Molecule: long non-coding RNA, 768 nt
Organism: Cygnus olor (mute swan)
Lineage: Eukaryota; Metazoa; Chordata; Aves; Anseriformes; Anatidae
Exons: 4
Source: RefSeq, a predicted model, not a curated record
GUUAUCCCAAUGACAUCAUAGUUUGGUGGAGCUCUGGUUCCUCCUACCUCUUUCCCAGACUGCAGAUUGAAGUGGGCAUCCUUUUGCCCUGUUUUACCACUCCUGAGAUCUCCCCUGUCACUGUCACCCAGCACUCCUUGCCUUCCAGACCUGACCACCACUACCUCGCCUUACACAGCCACCCAUGGGCGCUAAUUGGUAGCAGGACCUACCGUGCUGGGCAUGCUCAUACAGGGGAAGACCUCCUUGAAACCGUGUUUUCAUACUGUAGUUGGACCAGCUCAGGCCUGCUCUGCUCCAAGGUUCGGUGUUAAAGUUCAUGCCAAACUAGAAGUCACCUACAAAGCUGACAAAGAGAGAAGAUUGAAAAGUGAGGAAAUUUAGUCAACUUUACAACUUUCCUCAGUCAGAAACACCUUAGGAUACAUUCAGUUCUUUAAUUUGGGAAGAGGGCGUGUGAGAAUAGGUUUGAAAGCAAAAAUCAUCCUAGCACUGACUGCCUGACUGAUACUCAGAUUAAUUUCAGUAAACAUAGUGAGCCUGUGGGAGAAGAGAUGAAGUCAGGUAUGACUAAUCUCAAUGUCUAGAGAUAAUAACUUGUCCCUAGUUAGAGGAGUGUGCUUUAUCCAUUCCUCCCUACGUGAUGUUUUUACAUCAACCAUUACAACUUAUUGUUAUUAUUAUUAUGCUUUUAUAUACCUGGAUAUGCACAAGACACCUCACACUAUUAAACCUUUAAGUUGCUGCUGCUUGCCAAUUCAACUGUGA